GGAGGGUAUAGCUCAGUGGUAGAGUGUGUGCCUGGUAUGUACAAGGUCCUGAGUUCAAUCCUCAGCACCUCCA
Molecule: non-coding RNA, 73 nt
Organism: Camelus dromedarius (Arabian camel)
Lineage: Eukaryota; Metazoa; Chordata; Mammalia; Artiodactyla; Camelidae
Source: the annotation of a RefSeq genome assembly